This 323-nucleotide long non-coding RNA is filed under the name Nicotiana benthamiana. Its description in RNAcentral is "long non-coding RNA (NBEN_LNC023342)". Lineage: Eukaryota; Viridiplantae; Streptophyta; Magnoliopsida; Solanales; Solanaceae. The record is from RNAcentral.
CUGGACAUAAUAGCAUUAAAAUCCCAUGCUAUCAACCAGGGGCCAGUGAUACUAGUAGCAAGGUUCUGAAGGGCUGUCCACAGUGAAUUCCUUUGUACAAUGUCAUUGUGGCCAUAUACCACUGUGAGGCCACAAAUUAAAUCAUCAGUGAGCUUCUUAACAGUGCAAUGGAUGUAUUGUGCUUCUUCCUGAACACCAGUGACCAAGAGCUUGGUUGAAUCCCAUAAGAUCCAAAUUCGACCAUUUAUGGCACUGCUAUAGUUAGCAAGCAUACCCCAGUUAGGUAGUAAAACUCCAGAUAUUUUUGCUGCAUUAUUCUGUUU